UCUACAUCUAGUCAAGAUGUACAAGUUACAUGCAGCAUGCAUUUGUGAACUUCUGAAAUGACUGCUUAUAACUGAGAUUGAAUCAGGACUCUUUCAAAUGAUUUUAUUUGCAGCAGCACUUAGAUCCAUUUGGCCAAAAGUCUUUUACAAUGCAAGAUCACUGUCACAGAGAUGAUACAAUAUUGAAGAACAAUGGGAAUCUACCUGGGGAAUUAUUUUGCCUCACAUGAAGCUCAAAAUGACACACUCUUCACUCAGCCACUCAAGCUGAAGAAUGACUGAAGAACCCUGUGAAGGUCAAAAAUAUUU
Gallus gallus (chicken) is the source of this 309-nucleotide long non-coding RNA. Lineage: Eukaryota; Metazoa; Chordata; Aves; Galliformes; Phasianidae. The record is from Ensembl.